Molecule: ribosomal RNA, 437 nt
Filed under: uncultured Oscillospiraceae bacterium
Lineage: Bacteria; Bacillati; Bacillota; Clostridia; Eubacteriales; Oscillospiraceae
Description: bacterial SSU rRNA
Rfam family: Bacterial small subunit ribosomal RNA
Source: RNAcentral
ACGGAAGGCAGCAGUGGGGAAUAUUGGGCAAUGGGCGAAAGCCUGACCCAGCAACGCCGCGUGAAGGAAGAAGGCCUUCGGGUUGUAAACUUCUUUUACCAGGGACGAAGGACGUGACGGUGCCUGGAGAAAAAGCAACAGCCAACUACGUGCCAGCAGCCGCGGUAAUACGUAGGUUGCAAGCGUUGUCCGGAUUUACUGGGUGUAAAGGGCGUGUAGGCGGAGCUGCAAGUCAGAUGUGAAAUCCCGGGGCUCAACCCCGGAACUGCAUUUGAAACUGUAGCCCUUGAGUAUCGGAGAGGCAAGCGGAAUUCCUAGUGUAGCGGUGAAAUGCGUAGAUAUUAGGAGGAACACCAGUGGCGAAGGCGGCUUUCUGGACUGUAACUGACGCUGAGGUACGAAAGUGUGGGGAGCAAACAGGAUUAGAUACCCUGGUA